GACAGGGCCAGCGAGUACAUCACCUUAACCGAGAGGUUUGGGUAAUCUUGUUAAACCCUGUCGUGCUGGGGAUAGAGCAUUGCAAUUAUUGCUCUUCAACGAGGAAUGCCUAGUAGGCACGAGUCAUCAGCUCGUGCCGAUUACGUCCCUGCCCUUUGUACACACCGCCCGUCGCUACUACCGAUUGAAUGGCUCGGCCCGUGCCCCCCCCCCG
This 214-nucleotide ribosomal RNA is filed under the name Penicillium sp. RNAcentral's name for it is "partial small subunit ribosomal RNA". It matches the Rfam family "Eukaryotic small subunit ribosomal RNA", at positions 1505 to 1718 of the family's 1831-position model. Lineage: Eukaryota; Fungi; Ascomycota; Eurotiomycetes; Eurotiales; Aspergillaceae. The record is from RNAcentral.